AGAGUUGAUCCUGGCUCAGAACGAACGCUGGUGGCGUGUCUAUACAUGCAAGUCGAGCGAGGCAGCAAUGCCGAGCGGCGAACGGGUGAGUAACGCGUAAGCAAUCUGCCCCACUAUCAGGAAAUACCCGUGCCAACGCGCGGUUAAUGUCCAGGAGAGUGGCCCCUUGCAUGAGGGGUUGACUAGAGAUUUAUCGGUAUGGGAUGAGCUUGCGUCCGAUUAGCUAGUUGGCGGGGCAACGACCCACCAAGGCGACGAUCGGUAGCCGGCCUGAGAGGGUGAUCGGCCACAUUGGGACUGAGAUACGGCCCAGACUCCUACGGGAGGCAGCAGUAGGGAAUAUUGCACAAUGGGGGAAACCCUGAUGCAGCAACGCCACGUGUGGGAAGAAGCAUUUCGGUGUGUAAACCACUGUCAUGAGGGAAUAAGGCCCGCCUUCGGACGGGAUUGAAUGUACCUUGAGAGGAAGCACCGGCAAACUUCGUGCCAGCCGCCGC
RNAcentral lists this ribosomal RNA (497 nucleotides) under uncultured bacterium. RNAcentral describes it as "bacterial SSU rRNA". It matches the Rfam family "Bacterial small subunit ribosomal RNA", at positions 8 to 518 of the family's 1533-position model. The record is from RNAcentral.